CAUUUGGACCCAUAUCUCAAAAAUGCUGCAGUAAAAUGGUUUGAUAUGAGGUGUGCAUAUACUAUGGCAUAUCCUUUAUAAGAACUGACCAUUGUUUUUUUCUACUUAUUAGAAAUGGGAUCUUUAUAGCCCUUUAAAGUGUAAUAAUGUCCCAUAUCUCGAAAAUGCUGCAGUAAAAUGGUUUGAUAUGAGGUGUGCAUAUAGUAUGGGACAUCCCUGAUAAGAACUGACCAUUGUUUUUUUCUACUUAUUAGAAAUGGGAUCUUUACAGCCAUUUAAAGUGUAAUAAUGUCCCGUAUCUUGAAAAUGCUGCAGUAAAAUGGUUUGAUAUGAGGUGUGCAUAUAGUAUGGGACGUCCCUGAUAAGAACUGACUAUUGUUUUUUUCUACUUAUUAGAAAUGGUGUCUUUAUAGCCCUCUAAAUCAUUGUAUUGUCCCAUAUCUGAAAAAUGCUGCAGUAAAAUGGUUUGAAAUGAGGUGUGCAUAUAGUAUGGGACAUCCCAGAUAAGAACUGACUGUUGUUUUUUUCUACUUAUUAGAAAUGAUGUCUUUAUAGCCCUCCAAAUCACCAUUUGGACCCAUAUCUCGAAAAUGCUGCAGUAAAAUGGUUUGAUAUGAGGUGUGCAUAUAGUAUGGCAUGUCCUUUAUAAGAACUGCCCAUUGUUUUUUUCUACUUAUUAGAAAUUAUGUCUUUAUAGCCCUCCAAAUCACCAUUUGGACCCAUAUCUCAAAAAUGCUGCAGUAAAAUGGUUUGAUAUGAGGUGUGCAUAUAGUAUGGCAUAUCCUUUAUAAGAACUGACCAUUGUUUUUUUCUACUUAUUAGAAAUUGGGUCUUUAUAGCCCUUUAAAGUGUAAUAAUGUCCCAUAUCUCAAAAAUGCUGCAGUAAAAGGGUUUGAUAUGAGGUGUGCAUAUAGUAUGGGACAUCCCUGAUAAGAACUGACUGUUGUUUUUUUCUACUUAUUAGAAAUGGGAUCUUUAUAGCCCUUUAAAGUGUAAUAAUGUCCCAUAUCUCGAAAAUGCUGCAGUAAAAUGGUUUGAUAUGAGGUGUGCAUAUAGUAUGGGACAUCCCUGAUAAGAACUGACCAUUUUUUUUUUCUACUUAUUAGAAAUGGGAUCUUUACAGCCAUUUAAAGUGUAAUAAUGUCCCGUAUCUUGAAAAUGCUGCAGUAAAAUGGUUUGAUAUGAGGUGUGCAUAUAGUAUGGGACGUCCCUGAUAAGAACUGACUAUUGUUUUUUUCUACUUAUUAGAAAUGGUGUCUUUAUAGCCCUCUAAAUCAUUGUAUUGUCCCAUAUCUGAAAAAUGCUGCAGUAAAAUGGUUUGAAAUGAGGUGUGCAUAUAGUAUGGGACAUCCCAGAUAAGAACUGACUGUUGUUUUUUUCUACUUAUUAGAAAUGAUGUCUUUAUAGCCCUCCAAAUCACCAUUUGGACCCAUAUCUCGAAAAUGCUGCAGUAAAAUGGUUUGAUAUGAGGUGUGCAUAUAGUAUGGCAUGUCCUUUAUAAGAACUGACCAUUGUUUUUUUCUACUUAUUAGAAAUUAUGUCUUUACAGCCCUCCAAAUCACCAUUUGGACCCAUAUCUCAAAAAUGCUGCAGUAAAAUGGUUUGAUAUGAUGUGUGCAUAUAAUAUGGGACGUCCCUGAUAAGAACUGACUAUUCUAUUUUUCUACUUAUUAGAAAUGGGAUCUUUAUAGCCCUUUAAAGUGUAAUAAUGUCCCAUAUCUCAAAAAUGCUGCAGUAAAAGGGUUUGAUAUGAGGUGUGCAUAUAGUAUGGGAUGUCCUUUAUAAGAACUGACCAUUGUUUUUUUCUACUUAUUAGAAAUGAUGUCUUUAUAGCCCUCCAAAUCACCAUUUGGACCCAUAUCUCAAAAAUGCUGCAGUAAAAGGGUUUGAUAUGAGGUGUGCAUAUAGUAUGGGAUGUCCUUUAUAAGAACUGACCAUUGUUUUUUUCUACUUAUUAGAAAUUAUGUCUUUAUAGCCCUCCAAAUCACCAUUUGGACCC
Molecule: long non-coding RNA, 1999 nt
Organism: Carassius gibelio (silver crucian carp)
Lineage: Eukaryota; Metazoa; Chordata; Actinopteri; Cypriniformes; Cyprinidae
Exons: 3
Source: RefSeq, a predicted model, not a curated record